This is a long non-coding RNA of Pieris rapae (cabbage white), 1135 nucleotides long. RefSeq lists it as uncharacterized. Lineage: Eukaryota; Metazoa; Arthropoda; Insecta; Lepidoptera; Pieridae. The record is from RefSeq and is a predicted model, not a curated record. The transcript has 3 exons.
UAAGGCGCUGUAGGAAGGCUAGUGCCGAGUUUUCAAUCUUUUAUUUAUUUAAUUCUUAUGCAUAAUACUGAAUUGAUCACAUUGUGAUAAAUAUAUGAUAAAAUUGAGAACUAAUACUAAUUAGUGACUAAGUCGAAAUCCCAAUUUUAUUAAAUUUUCUCGAUAGAAAAAAAUUGCAAAGUGACCUCUAAGAUUGUACAAUAAACCGAUAGUAUUCAAUAAAUACUUCGAAUUAGAUCAUAAAACUUUUCAUAAUUAUUGAACUCAACAUUCUGUAGGUAGUGACUGUUUUAUUUUUUUUAAUUAUUCAUUAUUUACACUUUUAAACAAGAUUAUCUGAUAUAGCAGGCGUUAAAACCAUUCUUACUUGGACCGCCGCGCCUCCCGGCUCCCAAAUCAGUCUGGCUUCAGCCUUCGUACGAGAAACCUGUGUCGCUUUGCGCUCCGUGAUAGAAACUGAUCCGUGACUAAUAAAUUUACUAAGUAUAAUUUUAACGGUUGUAGUAAGCAACUUACUUUUGAAGAAUUGUAACAAAUGUAAAUUUAUAUUGAUUUCGUGCUUAGUAUUAAUAAUUCUUAAUGUUACUAUCCUUGCAAAUUGCUAAUGCGCAGGAACCUUGUCACAUUAAGAGCCACGUGACGUCACCCAGAAUAGAAAAGUACAGCUUGCAAAAAAGAAAUGCAAUUGUAAAUUUAAUAGGUGAAGUGUGAUAGAAACUGAUCCGUGACUAAUUACUAAGUAUAAUUUUGUGACUUCGCAAAAAUGGGAAAUAAAUGCAACAAGAAAAGGAAGAGCCUAAGUUGUAGAAAAAAAGCUGCUCAACAUAUGCUUAACGUAAUAAAAAGACGUAGAUUAGACGCUGAUGAAGAUAGUAAUGCUAAUAAAGAGAACAUACCGCUGCCGACGCUGCUGCAGCCCCCACCGCGGCCACCGCAGCCGCCCUCACUCCCGCCGCCGGCAAAACCAGGAACAUCCGAAGACGUGCCAAAUGUUAUUGAAUCUCUACAAAGUAACUAUGUAACAAUGCAGGAAGAAACAACAGAUGACUUGCCGUAUAUUUCAGAGGCUGAAUCGCAAAAAGAUACAAACUUACCAAUGCAGGGUCGGAGAAUUGUAGAUAUGGUGCACUUUAUA